This 254-nucleotide ribosomal RNA is filed under the name uncultured bacterium. RNAcentral describes it as "partial 16S ribosomal RNA". It matches the Rfam family "Bacterial small subunit ribosomal RNA", at positions 524 to 776 of the family's 1533-position model. The record is from RNAcentral.
UACGUAGGGUGCGAGCGUUGUCCGGAAUUAUUGGGCGUAAAGAGCUCGUAGGCGGUGUGUCACGUCGAUCGUGAAAACUUGGGGCUUAACUCUGAGCUUGCGGUCGAUACGGGCAUCACUGGAGUUCGGCAGGGGAGACUGGAAUUCCUGGUGUAGCGGUGAAAUGCGCAGAUAUCAGGAGGAACACCGGUGGCGAAGGCGGGUCUCUGGGCCGAUAUUGACGCUGAGGAGCGAAAGCGUGGGGAGCAAACAGG